This 2310-nucleotide long non-coding RNA is filed under the name Panax ginseng (ginseng). Its description in RNAcentral is "long non-coding RNA (PGIN_LNC012268)". Lineage: Eukaryota; Viridiplantae; Streptophyta; Magnoliopsida; Apiales; Araliaceae. The record is from RNAcentral.
UCAGAUUUUGGCUGAGGUUGCUUCAUAGCUACUACAAAUUGAUCGGUUUGUCAUAGAUUCUGAAAAUCUCUUCACUGCGAAUUUGUCCCAAAAAGUUAUGAUAGGAUCCAAUUCCAUGAAUUCAUCUCUCAAUGAAAGCACCAUUAAAACAAGAUUUUAGAGUCUCUUGCAAUAACUCUAGAAAUUAUAGAAUAAACAGAGAAAAAUUUAGAGAGGAGAAGAAGAUAGAUCGGAACAAAGUUAUAUUUUUUAUGGCUUAAAUAUGUUUCACUACUUUAAAUUAUACAUUUUUUAUUUCGAUAAUCCACCUUUUAAUUUUAUCAAUUAAAUAAAUAAACUUUUAAUUUUUUUUAUUUUAGUUCAAUUAAAUUACCAUAUCCUAAAUUGAUAACAUAACUUGUACGCAUAACAUUUUUACUGCUUAUGUGUUAAAAAUAAGUCAUUCUACAACUUUUUUUUUUACCAUUUUAUGAUAAUCAAAGGACAAAACAGUAAUAAAGCAUAUUAGAUUAUUAUUAAAAAUCAAAUAAUAAUAUUUAAACAAAACAUAACAUCAAUUAAACAAAAAUAAAUAUUAGUCCUUCUCUCUCCUACUAUUCCCCUCCCUGAACCAUUCCCCCUGUGCUCAUAUCCCAGUCCCUCGUCCUCCUCUGCCUCCGACACUGUCCCCGUCCCCCGUCCCCCUUUCUUUGUCCUCGUCUCAUCUCCCUCUCUUCAUCUUCCUCUUUUCACUUUUUUAAUGGAGAUGAUAAACAAAAGAAAUAAAAACAUAGGAAAGAUCUCACGCAACCCAUUUCUUCUUCUUCUUCUACUUUUCUUUUAUUUUUCCCCAAAUCUGGAUAUUGCUAUUGGAUGGCUAGGUAGACUGGAGACAUGGUUUUUCUCAGGCUAAUUCUCUGUUUUUUGGUAAUUUAGUUAUUGAGGAAUUGUAAAUCUGAGUUGUUAUUUUGGUAAUAUAUGUAUGAUUGUUUUUUUUUUUCUGAAACGGUGAGCUUCUUCUUCCUCUAUUUUUCCCUAUUCUGGAUAUUGCUAGCUAUUGGAUGACUAGGUAGAUCGGAGACAUGGUUUUUUUCACGCUGAUUCUCUAUUUUUUUGGUAAAUUAGUACUUGAGGAACUGUAGAUCUAAGUUGUUAUUUUGGUAGUAUAUGUAUGAGUGUUUUUUUUCUUGAAACAGUCAUCUGGUGGGUAUCGCGGAGACGUUUGUGGUGGUGAGUGGGAUCAGAUAAGGAGGGUGUAGCUGAUGAAGAAAUGCAGAGAGAGUGAGAGAGUCUGGGAUUUACCCUUGCUUAAUCAAUUUAAAUUAAUAAAAUGAUAAAAAUAUUAUUUUUUAAAUACGUAUGAGCUGGACAUGGCUCUAUUUAAGGGGUCAUGUCAGCAAUUUUUGAUAUGUCAAGAGAAAUUGGACAGAAGUGAAAAAAAUUAAUAAUUUACUCAUCUAAUUAACAAAAUUAAAAGGUAAAUCAUGGAAGUGAAAAAUGUCAUAGUUUAGAGUACUGAAACAUAUUUUUCAGCCUUUUUUUAUUGAUUUUUUCUAAUGACCCACAUUCAACUAUUUAAAAUAAAAGAAAUACAAUAUAACAUAGAAAUGCAUCUAAGCCAUUCAUUCUUAACACUAAAUCCUAACCCUCCAUUAUUACCCAAUACCCAUUUUAACUAGGCUAGGAUCUUGAUCGGUAACACUAGCCACUUUGAAUUUCAUAAUUUCUCCAUCAAUAGAUAGUAUGAUAUGAAGCAAUUGACCUGUCACUGAAUCUGUCAAACACCAAUUAUCACCCUAAAUGCUGAAUCUAAUAUCAAAAAAUGUUAGAAUAUAGUGUAAUGGAUGGCAGAUUACAUUUCCUUUUCUUUUUUUUUUACGUUCAAGUUCCAGACAUACCAUCUAAAUAUGAAACAAAACCAAAAGAAAAAAGGACAGAGAACCAAUGCAGUAUAUUAAAAAGCAAGACGGAAGAAAAAAACCUAAAGGGUGAGUGAUUCCAGUAGCAGCUGCAACAGACAUUCCACUGGUACCAAAAUGAUAAACAACAUUGGAUGGCGAAACCCACCAAUUCUGAUUCUCAUCGAAUCUCAUUGUUGUUCCUACUUCAUUCAAUUCAGGCAUCAAUCGCAAAAUUUAGUUAACAAAAUGUACAAAAAAAAGUACCAAAAAAUUAGUCCUGCAAAUUUUGGUUAUGAAAAUGAAGAAGAGAGAGAAAACCUGAAGGGAUACGUUUUCCCAAAGGCCAAUCGCCAUCCAUUUAUUCCAAUUUCAUCAGCGGAUUUGUUGCUUUAUUGAAAAGAGAGACUAUUCAACCGUGACAUGCACCAAC